GCCCCGGUAGCUCAGCUGGAUAGAGCAGCGGACUUCUAAUCCGCAGGUCCCUGGUUCGAAUCCAGGUCGGGGUA
RNAcentral lists this transfer RNA (74 nucleotides) under Actinomycetota bacterium. Its description in RNAcentral is "tRNA-Arg". It matches the Rfam family "tRNA". From Rfam's summary of the family: Transfer RNA (tRNA) molecules are approximately 80 nucleotides in length. Their secondary structure includes four short double-helical elements and three loops (D, anti-codon, and T loops). Further hydrogen bonds mediate the characteristic L-shaped molecular structure. tRNAs have two regions of fundamental functional importance: the anti-codon, which is responsible for specific mRNA codon recognition, and the 3' end, to which the tRNAs corresponding amino acid is attached (by aminoacyl-tRNA synthetases). tRNAs cope with the degeneracy of the genetic code in two manners: having more than one tRNA (with a specific anti-codon) for a particular amino acid; and 'wobble' base-pairing, i.e. permitting non-standard base-pairing at the 3rd anti-codon position. The record is from RNAcentral. Lineage: Bacteria; Bacillati; Actinomycetota.